UUUGGACAAGGGCAAACUUUGCGAAAGCAGAGGGCGCAAAGCUUCUGGGCUACGGCGAUUUCGCUAUGCCAGCAGGGCUGCCGGC
Molecule: non-coding RNA, 85 nt
Filed under: Thauera humireducens
Lineage: Bacteria; Pseudomonadati; Pseudomonadota; Betaproteobacteria; Rhodocyclales; Zoogloeaceae
Description: c-di-GMP-I
Rfam family: c-di-GMP-I riboswitch aptamer
About the family: GEMM was predicted in a large-scale screen for bacterial structured RNA regulatory elements. Genes associated with GEMM are involved in a diverse array of functions, including chemotaxis regulation, signal transduction, secretion and chitin.
Source: RNAcentral